Molecule: ribosomal RNA, 492 nt
Filed under: uncultured bacterium
Lineage: Bacteria
Description: partial 16S ribosomal RNA
Rfam family: Bacterial small subunit ribosomal RNA
Source: RNAcentral
AGCGAACGCUGGCGGUAGGCCUAACACAUGCCAGUCGAACGGCAGCACAGUAAGAGCUUGCUCUUCUGGGUGGCGAGUGGCGGACGGGAGAGGUAUAUAACGGACCCUACAUUUUCGUGGGGGUUAACGUAGCGAAACCUAAGACCAUACCGCAUCCGACCUACGGGUGAAAGCAGGGGAAAUUCGGACCUUGUGGGAAUGAACGAGCGGCUGUUGGAUUAGCUAGUUGGCGGGGUAAUGGCCCACCAAGGCGCCGAUCCGUAGCUGGUGGGAGAGAAUGGUCGGCCACACUGGAGCUGGAACACGGUCCAUGGUCCUACGGGAGGCAGCAGUGGGGUAUAUUGGGCAGUGGUCGCAAGCCUUGUCCAGCCGUACCGCGUGUGUGGAGAAAGCCUUCGGGUUGUAAAGCCCGUUUGUUGGGAAAGAAAAGCAUCAGGUUAAUACCCCGCUGUACUGACGGUACCCAGAGAAUAAGCACCGGCUAACUUCGUG